GCCAGCGUGGUGUAGCGGUUGAGUACUGGACUAUGACUCCGGAGGCCAGGGUUCAAAUCCUGGCUCAGCCA
Molecule: non-coding RNA, 71 nt
Organism: Phrynosoma platyrhinos (Desert horned lizard)
Lineage: Eukaryota; Metazoa; Chordata; Lepidosauria; Squamata; Phrynosomatidae
Source: the annotation of a GenBank genome assembly